GUGGGGAAUUUUGGACAAUGGGCGAAAGCCUGAUCCAGCAAUGCCGCGUGCAGGAUGAAGGCCCUCGGGUUGUAAACUGCUUUUGUACGGAACGAAAAGCCUGGGGCUAAUAUCCCCGGGUCAUGACGGUACCGUAAGAAUAAGCACCGGCUAACUACGUGCCAGCAGCCGCGGUAAUACGUAGGGUGCAAGCGUUAAUCGGAAUUACUGGGCGUAAAGCGUGCGCAGGCGGUUUUGUAAGACAGUGGUGAAAUCCCCGGGCUCAACCUGGGAACUGCCAUUGUGACUGCAAGGCUAGAGUGCGGCAGAGGGGGAUGGAAUUCCGCGUGUAGCAGUGAAAUGCGUAGAUAUGCGGAGGAACACCGAUGGCGAAGGCAAUCCCCUGGGCCUGCACUGACGCUCAUGCACGAAAGCGUGGGGAGCAAACAGGAUUAGAAACCCUAGUAGUCC
Molecule: ribosomal RNA, 450 nt
Filed under: uncultured bacterium
Lineage: Bacteria
Description: partial 16S ribosomal RNA
Rfam family: Bacterial small subunit ribosomal RNA
Source: RNAcentral